UGAAGAUGAGGAACGUGAUAUGGGCCA
This 27-nucleotide non-coding RNA is filed under the name Homo sapiens (human). Lineage: Eukaryota; Metazoa; Chordata; Mammalia; Primates; Hominidae. The record is from RNAcentral.